UCUUUUUUCAUUACAGUGUUAAGGAAAUAAUGUGAAAAGGCUAAUUUCAACUCAAAUUAUUAAUAAUCUUGAUGUUCAUUGUUUAGUUUAAAAUUAAGGAAACGUUUCUAAUCGACAAUCAUUAAACAUCAACUUUUGUUUUAUCCUUGCUCUGUCUUUGGACUUUAGUUGAAGAUGUCACUGCAUACAGUUCCCCUCUGUAAUGGCGAUGCCACUUGUCUCAUAAGUAGGUUGAAAAAUGGACCCCUGGGACGCAAUCCAGGGCCACACAGACAGGGGCCAUGCAGAGUAAUUAAAGUGUCCGCAUCCAGACAGCAGAUCUGUUGGUGUGAGAAAACAUAGCACAGUAUGUAUUUGCUGUGUCUGGGCCUGCAUGGUGACCGUGGGGUGGGCAGAGACUGAUCACUUCUCUCCAUGGCAGUAAGUCAGGCCGUUAAUGUCUAAUUGGCACCUAAUGAGGGACUGCGGUCUGACAGCCUCUGAGAUCCGCUCUCAUUACCUCUUCAGAGCCCUCAACAACUCUGACUGUGUUCAUCCGAGCACCACGGUUCAUCUUUAAACUCUUUAAACCAUCAGGCAGAAGCUGAAGCUGUGCUGGGUUUCUCAUCUAGCUGUUUUCUUAACUCCGCUGUGUGCGCACGCUAAUGUGCCUCCCGCACAAGUUCAUCUGCAUAAGAUGAUACAGUAGCGCCUCAGGAUAUGAACAGAUGGGAGUGUUUAGCAAACUCACAGCCCACCUUCUCCCCCCGCCGCAGUGUGGCGCCCCCCACGGGUGGCUCUGUUAACCUGUCACUUGUCAUCACUGGAGAUCCAGGCACCAUAUGCCCAAAGCUCCAGAACCUCACCAGACAUGAAAGCGGAUACGGAGAGGAGCAGGGGAGCUUCUUUUCUGUGGCGUCUGUUGUCGCGAUCAAAGACCUGUCAGUUUGCUCUGCAUAAUGUGGAAAACUGUUCUGAUCAUGCCACGUCUGCUUCUUAGAUUGAUCUCUGGGAGAUGUUACUAGCUCAUUGAUCCAUCGCAGACACCUGUGAGAAACUCCUGUUGACUAGUUCAGAUCUAAGAGGUAUAAAUCGUGUGUCUCAUCAGUGUUUGUGAGUAGACAAACAGGAUAAAUGGCACCCUGAGCUCAGCUUCAUUUAUUUAUUUUACUAUUAUC
Molecule: long non-coding RNA, 1157 nt
Organism: Carassius carassius (crucian carp)
Lineage: Eukaryota; Metazoa; Chordata; Actinopteri; Cypriniformes; Cyprinidae
Exons: 3
Source: RefSeq, a predicted model, not a curated record